Molecule: non-coding RNA, 288 nt
Organism: Myodes glareolus (Bank vole)
Lineage: Eukaryota; Metazoa; Chordata; Mammalia; Rodentia; Cricetidae
Source: RefSeq, a predicted model, not a curated record
AUACAAAUGAUGAGGUUUUAUCACUCUAAGUUCAAUUCACUGCUUUUCACAUCCUGUCGUCUGCACGGAAUUAUUCUCAGCAAAUCUCCUGGAUGUCACGUGAUUCUUGUUGGAAAGACAAUCAGGCCAUGACGCCACUGGAAGUUCAUUAAGAUAACCAGAAAGAGAAGAUUCCAAACUUUGAUUUGAAGCCUGAAGGUGCUUGUCUAGGAAAAGCUCUUCUGAAUGUCCUACGGUGGAAGAGAUACUCAUAGAAUGAAGAGAUACAGUGAUACAUAAAGGAAUAUA